RNAcentral lists this ribosomal RNA (253 nucleotides) under uncultured bacterium. RNAcentral describes it as "partial 16S ribosomal RNA". It matches the Rfam family "Bacterial small subunit ribosomal RNA", at positions 524 to 776 of the family's 1533-position model. The record is from RNAcentral.
UACGAGAGGCCCAAACGUUAUUCGGAAUUACUGGGCUUAAAGAGUUCGUAGGCGGCGCAGAAAGUAGGGUGUGAAAGCCCUCGGCUCAACCGAGGAAUUGCGCCCUAAACUACUGUGCUUGAGGAACCUAGAGGUGAGCGGAACUGAUGGUGGAGCGGUGAAAUGCGUUGAUAUCAUCAGGAACACCGGAGGCGAAGGCGGCUCACUGGGGGUUUUCGGACGCUGAGGAACGAAAGCCAGGGGAGCGAACGGG